UACAUGCAAGUCGAGCGAACGGACGAGAAGCUUGCUUCUCUGAUGUUAGCGGCGGACGGGUGAGUAACACGUGGAUAACCUACCUAUAAGACUGGGAUAACUUCGGGAAACCGGAGCUAAUACCGGAUAAUAUUUUGAACCGCAUGGUUCAAAAGUAAAAGACGGUCUUGCUGUCACUUAUAGAUGGAUCCGCGCUGCAUUAGCUAGUUGGUAAGGUAACGGCUUAUCAAGGCAACGAUGCAUAGCCGACCUGAGAGGGUGAUCGGCCACACUGGAACUGAGACACGGUCCAGACUCCUACGGGAGGCAGCAGUAGGGAAUCUUCCGCAAUGGGCGAAAGCCUGACGGAGCAACGCCGCGUGAGUGAUGAAGGUCUUCGGAUCGUAAAACUCUGUUAUUAGGGAAGAACAUAUGUGUAAGUAACUGUGCACAUCUUGACGGUACCUAAUCAGAAAGCCACGGCUAACUACGUGCCAGCAGCCGCGGUAAUACGUAGGUGGCAAGCGUUAUCCGGAAUUAUUGGGCGUAAAGCGCGCGUAGGCGGUUUUUUAAGUCUGAUGUGAAAGCCCACGGCUCAACCGUGGAGGGUCAUUGGAAACUGGAAAACUUGAGUGCAGAAGAGGAAAGUGGAAUUCCAUGUGUAGCGGUGAAAUGCGCAGAGAUAUGGAGGAACACCAGUGGCGAAGGCGACUUUCUGGUCUG
This 702-nucleotide ribosomal RNA is filed under the name uncultured Staphylococcus sp. RNAcentral describes it as "bacterial SSU rRNA". It matches the Rfam family "Bacterial small subunit ribosomal RNA", at positions 52 to 736 of the family's 1533-position model. The record is from RNAcentral. Lineage: Bacteria; Bacillati; Bacillota; Bacilli; Caryophanales; Staphylococcaceae.